GACGAACGCUGGCGGCGUGCUUAACACAUGCAAGUCGAGCGAUGAAGUUUCUUCGGAAAUGGAUUAGCGGCGAACGGGUGAGUAACAUGUGAGGAAUCUGCCCUUCACUUUGGAAUAACUCCGGGAAACCGGAGCUAAUACCGGAUACGAACUCUGGCGGCAUCGCCGGGGUUGGAAAGGUUUUCGGUGAAGGAUGACCUCGCGGCCUAUCAGCUUGUUGGUGAGGUAAUGGCUCACCAAGGCGACGACGGGUAGCCGGCCUGAGAGGGCGACCGGCCACACUGGGACUGAGACACGGCCCAGACUCCUACGGGAGGCAGCAGUGGGGAAUAUUGCACAAUGGGCGCAAGCCUGAUGCAGCGACGCCGCGUGAGGGAUGACGGCCUUCGGGUUGUAAACCUCUUUCAGCACCGACGAAGCGCAAGUGACGGUAGGUGCAGAAGAAGGACCGGCCAACUACGUGCCAGCCGCCGCAGUAA
This 479-nucleotide ribosomal RNA is filed under the name uncultured bacterium. Its description in RNAcentral is "partial 16S ribosomal RNA". It matches the Rfam family "Bacterial small subunit ribosomal RNA", at positions 28 to 523 of the family's 1533-position model. The record is from RNAcentral.